Sapajus apella (tufted capuchin) is the source of this 3523-nucleotide long non-coding RNA. RefSeq lists it as uncharacterized. Lineage: Eukaryota; Metazoa; Chordata; Mammalia; Primates; Cebidae. The record is from RefSeq and is a predicted model, not a curated record. The transcript has 3 exons.
GUUGCUUUAUCAUGUUCCCUUUUAAAAUGAUAGUUCUUAUCAAUGGAAACUCCACAUUUCUUUAUUGAUGAAGUAGGGAGGUGGGUGGGAGGAAUCUAGUUGGAAAAAGGGACUUGAAGCUAAGUUUCCAUGGCACUUUAUGUAAGACUGAGAACAUGUCAAUUGUUCAUAAUCAGGAAUGUGGUAGAGGGAGGUGCAGGUGGAGAUGAUGGGGUGGGAGAGUGCUGAAGCCAGCCCCGCAUGCCUCUAAGUUGCCCCUGGUUCUCAUGCAGCAGUGUGCUUCCCUUCCCUGUGGGCCGCACCCCACAGGGCAUAGAAAAUAGAAUGUCUGUUGAAUAUAAAAUGGUACCACUGAAUUGUUUUAGUGAUGAGGUUAGGUUUUAUUGUCAUGUGCAUUGUCACCAUAGUGACCCAUGGCAUAUAUUUUUAGCAUACUUGGUUGGGGUUGAGAGAAAUCUAUGGACAUAAUUUUUUCUUGUGUCAAGCUCUAUAACUCAUGCAGCAGUUGGUCCCAUGGUCAUGGCCUAUUAGUGAAAACCUCCAGAGGUCAGAUGGCCAAGGUGUUCCCACAUCUUUUUUAUGUAACUUGUUGCCUAAUAGUCCUCUUUUCUGCCUAUGAUUAAAAAUAAUUUUUAUAUACAACAUUAGUUACAUUUCAAACAUCUCUAUGAAGUCAUGCCAUUUUAAGGAGAUGAAAGCUGUCACAGAGUUGAGUGACUUGUUCCAAAUCACGUAACUAAGCCAGGACUAGAACCCCAGACUUUCAGAGUUUCUCUGCCCUGGGUUAUAAUCUCUUGUUUAACAGUGAUAGAUCUGAUUCAGUCUGAGAUGCUUAUUUAUGAAACAGUAUACUAUGAAUAUUUAUUAUCUUUCUCAAGCAUGCUUUUCUACACAUUUUGCAUACUUUCAACAGGGAUUACCCAAGAAUGCAACAUCUACCUGUAAUAGAUGGGGAGAAAAUUAGUUGCCUGAGAGAAUAGAAUAUUAAGCACACAAAUACUUUCCAACACAGGGUUGUAAAUUGCACUCCUCAUUUUAAGGUGCUGUAUGUGCAUGUUUAAGGAAUUAUUAAUGUAUUCUGCUUGCUUUCUGUAUUAACCAGUUCCAGAGGAUAGCCUUAGAAUUGAGUGUAUUUUGAAUCUUAAAACUUAAAGUUUCUUAUAUGUGGCACAGUGUAUAAUGUCAUUUAAGAAAAAUCUAUAAUCUUUCAAAGAAGUUACAUAGUUUCAAAAAUCAGGUUUUGUAAUCAGUGUUGAAAAAACUCUGAAAUAUGACUUGCUUUGAGGAUGAUCCUUGAGCUUAUGUAUUUGAUCUGCUCAAAAGUAAUAACUAAAGCUGAGUUAAACAGUUUUUAUUUAUUUCAGGGUUCUGAUUUAUCCCAGCUGGCUAUACAAAUGGCCUGUCUGAAUCCUAAUCUUGUGUGUUUUCUACGAUGGGCAGAAGUCAAAACAUCUGCUUCUGUAAGGAUCAUUAAUAAAAAGUUAGUUUUAAUUAUGAGUUUAAGGGAAGUUUAGGUUAUUUUUGAGAUGCAGUAUUUUAAAGGAACAAAACUCUGGUGUUGCCUUUUGUUGUUAUUUUUGUUUGCUGGACACAGGCUCUUGGUUUCUCACUCGGGCUAGAGUACAGUGGUGUGUUCAUAGCUCACUCUAACCUUGAACUUGUAGGCCUAAGCCAUCCUCCUGCCACAACCUCCUGAGUUGUGAGGACUACAGAUGUGUGCCACCACGCCUGGCUAAUUUUUUAAGUUUUUGUAGAGAUGGAGUCUUGCUCAGUUGCCUAUGCUGGUCUUGAAUUCCUAACCUCAAGCAAUCUUCCUGCCUUGGCCUCCCCAAGUGUUGUAAUAGGUGUGAGCCACCAUGCCCAACCUUGUGUUGCCUCUUGGUAAGAACUAAUAAGAGGAAAUUAGUAGCUUGUUUACCUGGUUCCAGAUUUGGAGGGUGCUGAGUAUAAUUUUUACUGAGUGGUAUGUGGUUGGAAGGUAGGCCACAUUUAGCCUUGAAUUGUUUAGAAAUCAAGUGUGAUUCAAAAUUUCAAAGGACAUUGCUUUGCUGGGCUAUGAAAUAGGCUACUAACAAGGCUAUUUUUGCAGCAAAAUGGCCAAAAUCUGAAAUAAAUCUAUGUAGUCUGUGAUGCUUGUAGCAUCCUUUGUUAAGUAAAGCACAACACCUAGGACAAGUAACUAAAGUAGUUAUGACUUCCAAAUAGAUCGAUAUGGCCUUGCAUUUUUGCAUUUUGGAGUUAGAGACACUGUGGCUAUAUCUGUAUACCUAUAAUACCUAUAAUAUAGCCUGGGAAGUUCUGUUGCUGCAGAGUUAUCAUUAAAGUCACUUGGAAUUGAAAAAGAUACAGAGUGUUGAGAGAAAGGAACUGGGCUGGUACAGUCAUUGCUGAUAUGUUGGGUCCUCCAUUUUGACUCCAGGCGAAGGCUCCUGGUGAUACAUGAUUCAUUUCAGGUCUUUAUUUUAUUUUGACUUCACUGCUGUGGUUCUAAGCCACACAGGUUUUUCCCUCUGCGGAGAAUACUAUGUAAAAGUCUCAGCGUUAGAAGCUGUAUUCAGUGUCCUGUAUGUCUUAUGAACCUUAUCUGAGCUGAGCUGAGAGCAGAGUGGCUUACUCUAGCAGCUGUGGAUGCAGUCUAGUUGGAGGCAUAGCUUGGAGGACGUCAUGGUUCGUGGGAUGGUUGGAGGGGUGGUAAAAGCAGUUAGCUCUUGUCAGCUGCUUCCUCUGCUAGUGCUUGAGCUGACAAUUUUACCUGUCAGUAUUUCCAUAUCUCCCACUCCUGUUGUGAAAGGUCACAGAGUGAUUGUCACUGACAACAGUUUCUCCCCAUUAGAAGAAAACUGGUUCAGAGGGAAAAGGUGAGGAACAUGGUGAGUUCCAUUGCUCAAAACUAAAUGCAAGUGGCACAGAGAUGCUUUCUCCCAUGCUAACAUCUCCAAAAGAUGAACAUCAAAUGCCUGGAAAUAGCAGCAUCAAAAAGAAAGAAGAUGAGAAGUAUUGUUGAAGAGUAUGGACUACAAGGUUUUUAACAAGCCCAGCAAAACAAACUUACGGCCAAAAGAAGAAAUAUUUCUACAACUGCAAGUAGACAUCAUAAAUGCUUGGUAAAAUUGCCAGAUUUAGGGAAUAAAACAUUAUUCAAAUAUUGAAGAAUGAGGCAUAUCCUGAAGACAUUCAGCAAAGAAGCAAGUUUGGCAAGGUGGAGAAGUGGAAAGCAGCGGGAAGAGAAAGGGAGCUGCCCAGAGCAGGAAUUCUCCAAGUGUGGCCCCUAGGUUGGCACCAUCAGCACCAGACCUACUGAAUCAGAAACUCUCAGGGCAAGGCCCAGCAGUCUUUCAGCAAGCCCUCCGGGGGUUCUGGUGCAUACUCAAGUUUGAGAACCAUAGGCUUUGCCACAGCCAAAAAGAUGUUUUAAUGGGCUGGUCUCUUCCUAAGUGCUGAGGUGCUCUCAUAUUCCCUCCAUAAGUAAAGAGAUGUUUUUUGUAGGCCGGGCGCGGUGGCUCAAGCCUGUAAUCCCAGCACU